UACGUAGGGGGCAAGCGUUGUCCGGAUUUAUUGGGCGUAAAGAGCUCGUAGGCGGCUCAGUUAGUCGGAUGUGAAAACUCGGGGCUCAACCCCGAGACGCCAUCCGAUACUGCUGUGGCUUGAAUCUGGUAGGGGAGCACGGAAUUCCUGGUGUAGCGGUGAAAUGCGCAGAUAUCAGGAGGAACACCGGCGGCGAAGGCGGUGCUCUGGGCCAGUAUUGACGCUGAGGAGCGAAAGCGUGGGUAGCAAACAGG
RNAcentral lists this ribosomal RNA (254 nucleotides) under uncultured bacterium. RNAcentral's name for it is "partial 16S ribosomal RNA". It matches the Rfam family "Bacterial small subunit ribosomal RNA", at positions 524 to 776 of the family's 1533-position model. The record is from RNAcentral.